RNAcentral lists this ribosomal RNA (116 nucleotides) under Escherichia coli. RNAcentral also lists the same sequence under 2 other names. The record is from RNAcentral. Lineage: Bacteria; Pseudomonadati; Pseudomonadota; Gammaproteobacteria; Enterobacterales; Enterobacteriaceae.
UCUGGCGGCAGUAGAGCGGUGGUCCCACCUGACCCCAUGCCGAACUCAGAAGUGAAACGCCGUAGCGCCGAUGGUAGUGUGGGGUCUCCCCAUGCGAGAGUAGGGAACUGCCAGAC